Molecule: RNA transcript, 4950 nt
Organism: Centrocercus urophasianus (Greater sage-grouse)
Lineage: Eukaryota; Metazoa; Chordata; Aves; Galliformes; Phasianidae
Gene name: elongator complex protein 6-like
Exons: 3
Source: RefSeq, a predicted model, not a curated record
CCCCACUCACUACGCGCGCACACACAGCCGCCAUGCUGCAGGAGCUGAACGAGCUGCUGGACGCCGCCCCGCAGCGCCCAGACACGGGUAAAUUCACACUGCUGCGAGACAGCAGGACGGAUGGCAGCUUCUUGGUGCACCACUUCCUCUCCUUCUACCUCAGAGCUGGCUGUAAGGUUUGCUUCCUGGCCCUGGUCCAGUCCUUCAGUCACUAUAACAUUGUAGCACAGAAGCUGGUAAGUGUCCUGGCACAGAUUGGUAACUGCGGGCCCUGUAGACAAGCCCACACCUGUGGACGCAGUUUCAGUGGUGCUCUGGGGAGGAAAGCCCUCUGGUAUCUAUGUCCAGGUACAUUCAGAAGGGAAUGCCUGUGUGCUGCUUCUGGCCUCUGGGCAAAGACAUGGAUCUGAGCCAUCUGAGAAGCCACAAGCACCAAUUUCCUUCCCAUGGCGAAUCAGGGAAGGAUUACACGUACCACAGAAUGAGGACACUAAGAACCAAGGCCAUUCCCAGUGUCAGAGCACCCCUCUCACCUGUGGGUUGAAAUGCAUCUCUCAGCUUUUGUGGAGUGCUCUCUUACAGCUAUGGAAUGCUCUGGGUGCAAAAUCCAGGUGACCUCCCAGAGCUGAAGGGAUUGCACUGACUCUGCUCUGCUCUGCUAGGGGCCUCAGCAGUGCUUCAGCUUACAGAGAAGGUACUGAGGAGCCAGGUGCAGUGAUGGUCCGUUCCCCACUCUAAUGCUAGACUGGUUUUAUUUUUAAUACUCAGUUUUCACCUUCUGUUAGGAGGAGAUAAAUGGCCUGAGGGCUCAGACUUAAGUUAACUAAGAUGGACUGAGCAAAAAGCAUUUUGAUGUGAAGCUUUAACUCUCGGUCAGGUACUGAGCGUGAAUUUCCCCUGCAGAGCAUUUCCCAGAGGAGGAAACGUGGGUUGGAGGUUCGGCUGUUCAGUAUGGGAACCUUGGCUGCACUAAAAGCAGAAUCAUAUUUGCUGAUGUGUUCCUGAAGAUGGUGAAAUUUCCCAUUACACAGCUCCAGGGUGUGCUUUUAAUAGGUGGUGGUGUCAUCUCUCUGGUGGGAGAGUCUGAGAAGUGGGAGAACAGAAGGAUUAGCUGGAGCCCAUGUGCAAUGCAAAUCAAAGUGCUUUGCUGUCUGAUGCUUCCAACACAAAGAUUACUCUUGUGAAGGAGUGAUAAGAAGAACAAUGCAGUUUGCUGGGGGAGUUGAGGGAAGGGAUUACAUUUGCCUGCAGCAGUGAGCUGACCCUGUCCUCUUGGUUUCAGGUCUCUGAAUCACUCUUCUUAUAACUUUGCAGGUCUGUGUGUGUGCGAUUGGUGUGAAUUCUUUAAAGCAGUCAGUGGUUCUAUUGUCACUUAUUUGUAUCUGCAUUUCUGUAAGAGCUUUGCUUUAGCCCUUUUCCCAGAUGAUCACGGCAGGCUCUGUUACUCUGUUUUAGCAGAGUGGUUUCACUCAGGCCUGUUUACGACUGGAGACUUGAUGAUGGGAGCUGCCUCUCUUUACAGUCCGGCUGUGCUGCUGUAGCUGCCUGCUGGAGGCAGCUGGGAUGUCACUGCUGCAGUAAGCCCUGGUCUCAGGCACUGCUGUGAGCAGAGCUGUGCUGCUGCUAGGUACUGUGUGCUGCAAACACCCAGCUGGUCCCUCCCUAGCGCCUCUUCCUCACUGUGGAAGCUGUGGACCUGGGCUCACUGUGUUGGCUGGAUGAGUUGCAGGAGGACAGAUCUGUUGGAAAAGGCUGCUGAGCUGCAGCAUUGGCUCCAUGGGUUCAAUCUCCCAUAGCAUUCCUUUCUAGCAGAAGGUUAUGUGCUAAUGAAGGGCUGCAGUCAAACAAGCUGGGGAUGCCCAAAGCCAGGAUGUGAGCUGUGAGCACCUGGGCUGUGGGAGAUGUCCCUGCCCGUGGCAAGGACUGAGGCCCGGUGGGCUUUAAGGUGCUUUGCAACCCAAGCCAGUCUGUGGUUCUAGGAUUGACUCUUUUCUAUCACAGUGCCUACAGAUUUCAGUGCAAGCUGAACCUGGCUAUCGUUGCCAGGCUGGAAAGCGUGCUCUGACCUCCCCAGAGAGUGUGCUGCUGAAGUAUGAUGCAGUCUUUACAGUGCUACCUUGCAGUCCUUGUAGCACCUGGUGGUGUUGCUGCUUCCCAGCAGUGCUGCCAGGUCUCAUCAGACCCUCACAGCUUAGCUAAAUGCAGUUUCCCUGGGAUUUUGUGCCUGUGCUGCCUCGCAGUGCUGCCCUCACACUUUCUUUUUUUUCAAAUUCCACCCUUCGUUUGAGGAUCCACACUUAAUUGAAGGGACAGUUAACGUUAACGUUGUUUGUCGUGACCUUCUAGACAACUGCAGCAGGACUGAUGACACGAGGGCAGCCUACCAGCUGGUGUUCCCACUCUCACUUGUACAAGCUUUGAUAUGUUUUGAAGGAAAAACAGAUUUAUUUCCAUGUGGCCUCCCUCUUGCCUGCUCCCCAUUCCCAGCACUGAGGUUGCAGACCCAAGGACGUUGCCUGCUCGCCCCUGCUGUCCCCUGAGGGUACACAUGCUGGAGAGGAGACCUUGGAUGAGUGCCUGAUCACAGACUGUCGCACUUUGUACCGCGGUGCCGUUCGCCGUUGGAGCUGAUGGAGCUUAAUGGAGCUGCCUCACGUGCUCCAUCAUUCCUUCUCUCCUGCGGAUAUUUUGCUUUCCAUUAUGAAGUGGCCAACAGCAAGCAGCAGGUUUGGUUUGGAGGAACGUCGCGGCUGCAGGCUGCUGGGACCCUGCAGGUGCUGCCUGCCCAGAAGCGUUGCAGGCUCUGCAGCUGUGCCUUGUCGGGAAGCUGUUGGUUCCAAUCUCCCCAGACUGUGAUCUCGGAGGCAUUUCUGGGCUGGAUCGAUGAGUGACAGAUUGCCAGAGAUAAUGUCUGUGCGUGGUGAUGGAGCGCGGUGCUGUGAGAUAAUGAGGGCUUUCAGGGUUGGUAACGCACGCUGCUCGGCGCUGUGGCCCUGCAGCAAGGACGUUUUAGUGCCUCUGAUCCUGCUGGCACUCAAGCAGAUGCCAUUGGCUAUUUUGGGUUCAUUUUCCAUCACCUUUGAGCUGUCCUGGCUCUUUCCUCUGUUGUCCAGGCGGGCCCUGCUGUCCUAGAGCUGAGCUGCCAAGUGUUUCAAGGAGGAGAUGAUGGUUCCUUGCUGCUCUGCUAGGGAAACAGCUGAACUGGGAGGCUGGAACUAAAUGCUCUUUUGAAGUCCCUUCUGACCUGAGCCAUCCUGUUUGAAGUACACAGUUUGCAUGUGCACAGAGCAAAGCAAAACUCCAUUUCUGAGUGACCAACAUGAAGAGUGACUUCAGGUGCUGCUUUGGCAAAGCACUUAACGAUGAGCCUGAGUCCUGUGAGCUCCAGACGUCCAACAGGGGAUCAGUGAGCCUGUUCCUGCAGCCGCCCUGCAGCACAGCCCUGCUUUGUGGCAUGUCAGGUAUUUGCCAGCUGAUCCACAUUCCUGCUGCAUAAAGCUCUUGUGUUCUUGGCGAGGAAUUGUUCCGUGGUGUGGGCUUAUUAUUGCCUAGGAGGCUAGUGCUAGCUCUGCACUCCUGCCCUACUUCCAAUCAGGGUUUUAGUGGGUAAUUAUCACCUGCAAAAGCUGAAUUCCUGUGCCUGAAGCCCACGCGCCCUGACGGAUGCUCCCCUGAGAGCUUCAGCAAAGAGAAGAAAUGUGAUGUAAAUCUGUCAUUCCUAUCAUCAGCAGCAAACAUGUGGCCACUGAUAAGCCUUGCAGAGCUGGGGGUUAAUCUCCUGGAAGGGGCCUCUUCCUUAUCUACUCAGACCUUCUCUCUCUUGGGGUGCUUGUGUGGAAAUGCCAUGCUCCCAAAGCAGCCUCGUAUAGGUAUGUGGCAUUGAUUAGAUGUCUGGGCUGUAGCUUUCCAAUCUACUAAGAAUUUAAAAAAAAAGGAGGAGGAGGUGGAAUGCUGGCUCUCAUGGGUUGAUGUCAGAGUAACAGGAGGGUCUGGCAGGUGGGAUAUGGGGUGGGAACUGGGAGGCAGAAGUGGACAUGUGGCUUUGUGCAUCUCCUUUGUGUGUGAGCAAAGAGCUCAUGGGUGUCACUUGGAAAACCUCUGUAUAGCAAAGGGGGGAGUUGGGCUGGUACCAACUCUGCCCAGCUGUGCUCUGCCCACCUGCAGGGAUCCUUGUCCCAGUGAUCCACUCUCUCAGGAUCCUUGUUUCUGGUUAGAAUCGUGGAGUCAUUUGAGUUGGAAAGGCCACCUAGCCUGGCUCCCCUGCAGUGAGCAGGGAUGUGCACAGCUCCAUUGGGUGCACAGCCUGCUUCCCAGCCUCUGUCUCCCUAGUUUUGCCUCUUGAGCAACCCUGCGCUGAGCUAAAGCUUCCUGAACUCUUAGUUAACCACGUCUCGCCAUUUUGGCCAACUACCUGCUGCCUUGCACAACAGCCCCAUUUCCAGAGGCUUUGUGCUAACGCUCCCCAGCUCCAUUUGAAGAGAUUGCAGUCCGUUGUGAAAUGUGGGAAGCAGCCCACGCUGCACAGCCAAGCAAACUCAUGCUUCUUCCCACAGGGAAACUGGCGGUUUGACCACGGUGAGCUGUGUGAUGUAUCUUGAUGGUUACACAAAGUACUACAUUGUCUCCAAAAAACCAAACUGGUGCAGUUACCAGUAAGCUAAGGAACAACAGAAUUGCCAAAAGUUGCCCUUGAUUAAAAAAAAAAACAAAAAAGGAUGAGGAGCUGUUUUGUGAACUGUGUCUCCAGCUGGGAUCUCCAUUCAGGAUGUUCUGUAUGAAUCUGCUCCACCUCUGCCAGGGCUUUCUUCAUUGGUCCUGGAGGUGCUGGAGCUGAAUGUGCCCUGUGCUUGGCUCUCAAGGUAGAGCAGGAGAUUGGCACAGGAUGCCCAGGGAGGUGGUGCCUCUGGAGUGCUCGAGAGCCAUGGAGAUGUGGCAUGUGAUGACAGGGUC